GACGAACGCUGGCGGCGUGCUUAACACAUGCAAGUCGAACGGAAAGGCCCCUUUGGGGGUCCUCGAGUGGCGAACGGGUGAGUAACACGUGAGUAACCUGCCCUUGACUUCGGGAUAACUUCAGGAAACUGGGGCUAAUACCGGAUAGGAAUCCUUGCUGCAUGGUGGGGGUUGGAAAGCUUCGGCGGUUUUGGAUGGACUCGCGGCUUAUCAGCUUGUUGGUGGUGUAGUGGCUUACCAAGGCUUUGACGGGUAGCCGGCCUGAGAGGGCGACCGGCCACAUUGGGACUGAGAUACGGCCCAGACUCCUACGGGAGGCAGCAGUGGGGAAUAUUGCACAAUGGGCGGAAGCCUGAUGCAGCAACGCCGCGUGCGGGAUGACGGCCUUCGGGUUGUAAACCGCUUUCAGCAGGGGCGAAGCUUGUGGUGACGGUACCUGCAGAAGAAGCACCGGCUAACUACGUG
Molecule: ribosomal RNA, 465 nt
Filed under: uncultured bacterium
Lineage: Bacteria
Description: partial 16S ribosomal RNA
Rfam family: Bacterial small subunit ribosomal RNA
Source: RNAcentral